ACUUCGGGAAACUGAAGCUAAUACCGGAUGAUGACGAAAGUCCAAAGAUUUAUCGCCCAGGGAUGAGCCCGCGUAGGAUUAGCUAGUUGGUGGGGUAAAGGCUCACCAAGGCAACGAUCCUUAGCUGGUCUGAGAGGAUGAUCAGCCACACUGGGACUGAGACACGGCCCAGACUCCUACGGGAGGCAGCAGUAGGGAAUAUUGGACAAUGGGCGAAAGCCUGAUCCAGCAAUGCCGCGUGAGUGAUGAAGGCCUUAGGGUUGUAAAGCUCUUUUACCCGAGAUGAUAAUGACAGUAUCGGGAGAAUAAGCUCCGGCUAACUCCGUGCCAGCAGCCGCGGUAAUACGGAGGGAGCUAGCGUUGUUCGGAAUUACUGGGCGUAAAGCGCACGUAGGCGGCGAUUUAAGUCAGAGGUGAAAGCCCGGGGCUCAACCCCGGAACUGCCUUUGAGACUGGAUUGCUAGAAUCUUGGAGAGGCGAGUGGAAUUCCGAGUGUAGAGGUGAAAUUCGUAGAUAUUCGGAAGAACACCAGUGGCGAAGGCGGCUCGCUGGACAAGUAUUGACGCUGAGGUGCGAAAGCGUGGGGAGCAAACA
RNAcentral lists this ribosomal RNA (594 nucleotides) under Sphingomonas sp. 5.5. RNAcentral's name for it is "bacterial SSU rRNA". It matches the Rfam family "Bacterial small subunit ribosomal RNA", at positions 146 to 774 of the family's 1533-position model. Lineage: Bacteria; Pseudomonadati; Pseudomonadota; Alphaproteobacteria; Sphingomonadales; Sphingomonadaceae. The record is from RNAcentral.